AGAGUUUGAUCAUGGCUCAGGAUGAACGCUAGCUACAGGCUUAACACAUGCAAGUCGAGGGGAAACGACAUCGAAAGCUUGCUUUUGAUGGGCGUCGACCGGCGCACGGGUGAGUAACGCGUAUCCAACCUGCCCAUCACUUGGGGAUAACCUUGCGAAAGUAAGACUAAUACCCAAUGACGUCUCUAGAAGACAUCUGAAAGAGGUUAAAGAUUUAUCGGUGAUGGAUGGGGAUGCGUCUGAUUAGCUUGUUGGCGGGGUAACGGCCACAAGGCGACGAUCAGUAGGGGUUCUGAGAGGAAGGUCCCCCCANAUUGGAACUGAGACACGGUCCAAAACUCCUACGGGAGGCA
Molecule: ribosomal RNA, 353 nt
Filed under: uncultured bacterium
Lineage: Bacteria
Description: bacterial SSU rRNA
Rfam family: Bacterial small subunit ribosomal RNA
Source: RNAcentral